CCUACGGGAGGCAGCAGUGGGGAAUAUUGCACAAUGGGCGAAAGCCUGAUGCAGCAACGCCGCGUGAAGGAAGACGGUUUUCGGAGUGUAAACUUCUUUUCUUAGUGAAGAAUAAUGACGGUAACUAAGGAGCAAGCCACGGCUAACUACGUGCCAGCAGCCGCGGUAAUACGUAGGUGGCAAGCGUUGUCCGGAAUUACUGGGUGUAAAGGGAGCGUAGGCGGGAAGCCAAGUCAGCUGUGAAAACUACGGGCUUAACCUGUGGACUGCAGUUGAAACUGGCUUGCUUGAGUGAAGUUGAGGUUGGCGGAAUUCGGGGUGUAGCGGUGAAAUGCGUAGAUAGUCGGAGGAACACCGGUGGCGAAGGCGGCCAACUGGGCUUUAACUGACGCUGAGGCUCGAAGGUGUGGGGAGCAAACAGGAUUAGAUACCCCAGUAGUC
RNAcentral lists this ribosomal RNA (441 nucleotides) under uncultured bacterium. RNAcentral's name for it is "partial 16S ribosomal RNA". It matches the Rfam family "Bacterial small subunit ribosomal RNA", at positions 338 to 795 of the family's 1533-position model. The record is from RNAcentral.